AAUUAUUUGAAAUACAGCACAAUGUAUUGGAUGAGAAACAUGGGAAAAGAUUUUGUGGCAUUUUGUAGUUUUAAGAAAUUGCAAUCUAUGUAUCACUUAAAGUAUAUCGCACAGGGAAUCUGCAGAGGUGUUGAACCUCUUGUUGCUGCAGCUUCUGGGUGAUUUUCUCAAAUACUGGCAUAGUCAUCUUCCUGGCUUCUCAGAGUUGAUAAGUACUGGUUGCAUUUCUAUGCGUGUGUUACACAUUCAAAUAGCAGUAAGGCUGUAGAUGUGACUCAGGUCAUGAGUAAAAGCAACAGUGGGAUUUUUAAUUAAGUCUGCUUAUUUUCUUUAAGGCUGACAAUACAUCUGAGAAUUUGACAUUUAUUUAUGUGUGCAUUCCAGAUUUGCACACUGCAUAUCAAAACCUGAGACAAGCCCAGUGAGGGAUGGGGUGGGGUGCUGAGAUAGCGUAUCUGCCUUGCUCUGCUGCCCGCAAGUGAAAUUCUUUCCAUCUGAGUCCUAGCAAGGUGGUUCUGGGUGAAGCAGAGCCCUUGACAGAAGGCUGUCUCUUGCCCUGAGUCAGCCACAAAGUUCACUUUGUUUUCAUCCACCUCUGCCUCUCCUCUGGCAUCCCAGCUCCUCCAAGAUGGUGACUCCCAUCUCCAGUUCUCAGGGUGGGGAACCCGUCAUCUCUCCUGCUUGCUGUGCUCUCUUGUACUUGCUCUGUAGGAACAGGCCCCUGGGGCUAAACAGGACUUCCCUUUUUCCAAGUCAUUGUUUUCUCAGUUCAGGCCCACUCCAUGACCUAACACAGCACGUUUACUUCCCAAACAUAGGAGUGCGAUGCAGGGAGCAGAAGGGGAGGCAGUCCCUGCUCCCAGCGCAGGCAGCCCGAUGCUUGCAGCCCCAUGGGGGGCUCAUGAUACCCAGGCAGUGGGCAUUAUAUCAUGUUGUAUCUCAGGCAAAGUUUCUAGCCAGGGAGCUGCUGAUCCUUAAGCAGAAAGUCAUUCCUGAUGACUCUCUUCUCCCCAGGGCGGCGCUGACUCUGCAAGCUAAAACAGGAGCAGCAAGCAGUAAUUGCAUCCACUUGGUUACUGGAGUGAGAGGCUUGGAGUCUGAAUUCAGUGGUGAUCUGGGAAGCCCGAGUGUUCCAUGCACAGGCCGAUCCCACGACCCCUGAGGAUGUCGGCACCGAUGGGAACGCAUCGCAGCCCUCCCCAGCAGCAGUCCCCACAGGGGCGCUCCCUGUGCACCUCAGAGGAGCCAAUGCUGUAAAUCCCAUCCUGGUGGUCUGUUGUCACACCUUGCCCCUGGGAUGAGGGGAUGCUGGAGCCCUGAUCCUGACACAGCGGUAACUGCACUGCAGGACAUGCUGAGCCCCGGAAAUUUGGGCUGGAAGGGCUCUUUGGGACUCUGCUCAGAGGCACUUGCAAGAUAACAAACACUAAAAUAAAAUGAAGUGAAAUAUUGGAGAGCCUGCUUUUAUACCUCUUUUAAAACUGAACACAAAAGCCAAGUGAGAUCAUCGGGUUUAUUAGGCAGGAUAUUUCCAGUAAAGAUGGGGAAGCACUUCUGCCACCAUACAAGGAACUGCUCAGCCUCCAUCUGGAAAGUCACAGCCAAUUCCCAUCAGCUGUCUUUGGGAAGGAGGAAUCCAAAGCAGAACUCAGAAGAUGACUGGGACAGUGAGUGACACAGAAGUGACCAUGUGGGAUGUUCGGUGUGGCAGAGCUGAAGAGAGGGCACUGGUUUCUGUAGAUACAGCAGAAGGAAGAACAUUACAUAAAUGACAAUAAAUCUUUGGAUGACAGAGUGACUGUAAACUUCCACUCACGCUGGAAAUGAGGGUUCUGAGUCUUGGAGCAACCAGCUUCUGCAAGACGUUGCAUCAGGAGAGCAGGGCCGGGUUCCAUUGCAUAACCCACACACAAAUGAGCUGGCAUGUGAUGCUGUGAAAGAGGAGUCUGGCUGCAGUGAUCAUCUCCAGUCCCAUGUGCUCCUAGAAUACCGAUGAUUUCUUCCACUAGCCGUGGUAUUCCACAGGCUGCUGUCUAGCUGUGAUCUUCCAGAGAGCCAAAGGAGAAGCUGUGGCCCUAUGCCCUACAGUGGAGCUCUCCAAGACAUUGUGCCAGAGACUGCAGCUUACUCAGUGUGCUCCGGAAUGGGAUCUAGGAGCUGCAACAGCGUUUGCUUAAUGGCCAGCAGUGACAGGUUUAUAAAUCAACAUGGCACCUAUUACCUCCAAUGGAAAUGGUAAUCUGUUUUUUCUCCUAGCGGCUUCUGUUGCAAUAAUCAUGUGCUUGCAGCCUCCUCCAGGGUACAGUGCAAUGCAUCUCCCUUGCAGGAGUCACAUCCCUGCUGGGAGCCCCCCCAGCUCAGCAGGGCACUGAGCACCCCCCUGACUGCUGGGAGCCGCAGGUGCUCAGCACCUGAGCUCAGCCCUCUGGCAGGAUAUGUGCAGGUUCACUCUGCUUAUCACCAACAGCUGCAGGGCAGCCUGGAAAUGGAGUUGCAGGAAGGGAAGGGAUCCAUACGGCUGCUUUCUUUCUGCUUUUUUCCCCACUCUGAGGUAUGGAGGGCUGCUGAGCGUGGUGGAGCCCUGCAUUCAGAGCACCCUGUGCAGUCGGCAGCAAGUGGCCGGCACAGCAGCACCCUGGUGUCAGGUGUCUGUCUUAGCCUCUUCCCAGCAAGGUCUCCAUCUAAAUCAACAGAAGCUCUCUGGACUCCGAACCAUGGCAUAUGUGUAUUUUUAGAAGCCAAUCAAUCAGUGGUGACUGUUCAAGUUCAGGCAAGUCAAACACAGCCUGCAAAGUUACACAGAAGCACUGUGUGUUGUAGAAGGGUUGGUGAGCCUGCUUAUUAUUUGGCGUGCUGUGCCAAAUCCAUGAGCUGCUGAGGCUGGGUUCUUUUCAGAGAUAUCCAUAAGAAGUGCAAGUAUAAACAGACUGUGGAUUGUAAAACACGCUCUUUUUAAUUGAAGCAAUAAAGGACUGUUUGUGCUUCCAUAGAAGCCCUCUUUCAAGGUGCUGUGUGUUUUCCAAACUUUAACACAGCCCUGGGUUCAGGGUUUGUCAUGUGGGCCUUUCUGUAGGUGAGGAAACUGAGGCACAGAAGACUGCAGAUGCUGCCAAGGAGCUACAGAGACUGUGAAGUCCCAGCUUGUCUUCAGGGAAGUGCUGUGCUGGGCAAAGAAAACAAACACCUGUGCGCUGGCUUCCCUUCACAGUCUGAUCAGCGGAAACAGCAGCAGAGGGGUCAGGUCAGCCUCAGGGCUCUGGGCAGCAGCAGCAGGUUGGCUUUUCGGUGGCUUGGCUGCAAGGCAGGAACAUCUUGAGGCCUUUCUGGGUGUUUCUUCAAAGAGCGUUGCUGGGGUUUGGAAGCGCUGAUCAUGGAGCAGGUGUACAAAUGCAGCGUGUCGGAACAAAAAAUCACUGUAAUGAAUUGUAUCCCUUCAUGAAAAAUGCAGAGGCUCAGUAGUUGUGGGGAAGCAGGCGCAGCCUGGAGUCGAGCUGGACCUCUAACAUCAGACACCAACCAGUCAGAGAGCAGCUUAGAAAAUGCCGGUGUUCUGAUUUCCAGAGCCUCAGUUUAUCCAACUUGAAAAUGGAACUGAUGCUUUCCUAUGUCACUGACCACUCAGUCAAGAAACGUGGCUUUGGCCUCUUCUGCUUCUCUGCUUCUUCAUGCCCUGCCUGAUUGCUACAAGACAUCUGCUCCAGAGCUUCUCGUUGGAGUCUGCACAGCUGCACAAAAUGUAGUGCAUGAUCUGAUUCUCAAAUUGGGCUUAACUCAUAUGUGCAGUGCCAGCUGGAGGGGCCUGCCGAGUUUUUGCUGAUGCAUCAGAAAUAUAUUUUUAGGAAGGUUUCUCUAUAAUUAUCACAUUAUAGCUCCUUCUGGAUCACUCAGAGUAUAGUAAACAAUUGCUAUACUUGUUAGAGGUCAUGAAUACAGAAAAACAUUCCUCUGUGUGAGGUCUGCUGUUAAAUAAUAACUUGUCGUUUCAUGGCGUGGGGGGAGUGAAUGCCCUCGAAGGGACGUGCUGACAUUGUUCAAGCCAGUGAUCCAGUUCCUGUAAUUUACACCACUUUCUUAAAGCUGCUUCUCUGCACAAGAACAAUGGAUGUGCUGAGGGACAGCUGUUGCCCCGCUGCAGCUCCCAGCGCCUCGUGUGUUGAUCCUCUCUCCGGUUUCCCUGCUACGCUGCUGCAGCAACACGUGGAUGGCUCACUGCUGGAGGCCUUGGAGGUGAUGGGCAGCUGGGUGAGGAAGGUGGUUAGCGGACAGCUGUGCAGGGUGCAGCCCCAAGCAGAUGGGGAAGGGGAGUGGCAUUAGAAAGCGAUCACGCAAAGAGAUUAUUAAUGAGUAAUUUCAUGAUCAGCGAGUUGAAUGAACAGCGCUCACCUCUGUGGCAUCUCUGCUGUCUGGUGUAGAGGGAGCAUCCGCUGCUGUCUUUUCCUCAGGGGAUGCUAAUGGUGUCCAUGUCCUCCAUCUGUCAUCAGCAGCGUCUGUCUGGGACCUUCAGGGCUCUGAGAAAUCCUCCUCUCUGUCUCCUUGAAAUAGCCUGACACGAUCAAGAACUACUUGCACGCAUUCGGCUCACACAGUGCUCCAUGUACAGCUUUAUUCCCUUGGGAAAUCCAGGCUUUACAAUAAUCACCUUGCUGUUCAACCAGGUGUAACAUGCAGUUGUGAUUUUCAUAGUAUAGUAGAAAAGCGAGGAUCUGGCUGUGGCUGCAAUCAGUUAACAAAACAGAUAAGUUAGGGAUCCCAGAGCCCCUGGAGACCUAUCUCAAGGCCAAAGAAGAAACUGAGAAGUCUGAUGGAGCUGCAGAAGUGGGGUAGAGCAGUUAUCUCUGGCCAAACAGGUGACGGAUGUGUCCGUUAUGACUUCUCAGUCCCUCCCUGUGGCAUGGGAAUCUGCCCUUUAAUAUGUGGUCAAAAGAAAAUUAGGUCUUGGCAAAAACAUAGCAAAUUUAAGAGCUCAGUCUGGAAGGAGCUCAGCAGGGAGGCGUAGGAGCUGACUGCAGCAUUUCAAAGUCUUUCUAGAAGCUGUGGUUUGGAGAGGAAAAGGAGAUGAAAUCUUCCGUGUUGCAGCAUGCAAGAACUCACCAGCUCUACCUCUCCAAACGUCGCUGUGACAUGGCUCCACCAUAUUCAUACUCAUGACUGAGGGGAUGGCAGACUCCAUACUCAGCCCCUUGCUUUUCUUGGUUUGUGUUGCAUGCUCCAUGUUGUUUUAAUGUAGUUCCUAGUAUUUAAUGCAUUUUGAUUGCUUUCUCUAAUAACAUCGACUGAGUGCUAGGAGCCAAUCUAAACAAGCUGUGCCAAUAAGCCAAACAUUUCACUUCAACCAGCAAAGCGGAUGCCUCUUACCCCUACUCACGCCUGGCUGUGCAAACCAAGGACCUCGCUGCUCAUCAGGGAGAGCAAAGCAAAAGCCUGGUGUGUUGUGGGCAGAGCUGGGCUGUGUCCCUGUGUCCUUGUGUCCCUGCCACGCGUGUGCCAUCGAGGUGCAGGUCAGGCAAUGUGCAAAGCUGGCUCUUCUCGAGGGAUGAAUGCGGCAUCUUGUCUCAUGCACUUUGACAAGCUGGGUCUUGGUUUUGUGAGACCGUGAGCACCUCUAAAUCCCUUUGACAUCAGUGGAAGCCGGACUUCACGUUCUGCAUCACUGGAAGCCUUUCCAAGCAAUUAAAAAACAACCCCAGACCUCCUCCCCUGGUGCUGAUCUGUGGUGUGGUGUUGACGUAAGUGUACUGGAGUUUUACUUACAGCAGCUGGGUAGUUGGCACUUUUAUAGGACUUUUUAAAAAAUUCUUUCUGUCUUUUGCACAAUAUUCCUGAUUUUUUUUUUUACUCUGUUUGUUUUUCUCCCACAAGCCCAGCCUUCAUGUCUGUCGUCUCAGCACUGCUUCCUGUUGUUCUCUGUGAUCUCCCUUGUUCCAUCUUCUCUUCUCUGGUUUCCUCCCUUUCAUUUUAGCCUUAUUUUCCUCAGGCUGCCUGAGCCCAUCCUCCCAGAGGGGAAAUGUAUCUGUCUCAUUCCCGUCUCUGUUUCCCUCCCAGCCCCACAGCUGUUCCCUCUCCAGCAGACCCCACUCCUGCUCAGAGCACCAUCUAUGUCCAACCCCUUUCCUCCAUCACUGCAGGUCAACAACAGAGAAAACAGAAAAUGCACCAGGAGAGGGGGGAUUACAGCCCAGAAGGAUCGUUCCUGCGAGAUGCCAAGUGCUGUCUCACCAGUGCUCACCUGGACUGCUUGCAUCUGGCUGGAUGGUGGAACCCCCAUCCCCAGCACUGACCAUUUGUGAUUUUUCAUGCCACGCAAUCCAUCACUGCUCCUGGGAGAUUUUUGCCUUUCAUGCUGCCCAAGCCUGAAAGCCGUAAACUCUGCAGUGAGGAUGUGGUGAGGUGUGAAUGUACACUUCAUUUCCAAGCGGUUCUAUUCCCCUCAUGUGCUGCACUUGACCAGCAAAGCAGUGGGCACCAUUCUCUGUGCUUUGGCCCAUGUAAUUACGUGUUUUCUAGCUGUGCUCGGUCAAAAGUAAUCAUGGAGUUACAACCUCAGCUGGGACAGAAACCAGUCAAUUUAACAAGCUGAGUUGUGUGCGAUUACAGAAGAUACAUCCUGCCACGGAUUUGUUCUGCCACCCUUUUGCUCUCCUAAGUAGAACACACUGUGGGGACGGAUGGAGCCGGAGAGUGGUUGGAGGUGGCACAGUCUGCCCAUCCUGCUGGGGUGAGAUACCUGUACAGCUUAUGGGUGUGAAGGGACUUUUCCCUCCAGAGAAGUGGGAUGCAUUUAGUUGCAGUCUGCAUAUCUGCCUCAGGCACCUCGUGAGCCCUGCCUUGGGUGUGUUUUUACAGAAUUGGGGAAUUAUCAGAUCUGGAAGGAGAAUGUGCAUGGGCUGAUCUGCAAGCACUGCUGUCCACUUGUACCCAGCUGCAGUCGCAUCCCUCGCUCUGUCCCUUCGCCUCUCCUGUAUUCCCCGACUCAGGCUUUGCCUUGUUCAGCAACAAAGAAAAUGCCUUCAGAAACAUCGUUGCCCUGAUGCAGCAGGAGGCUGUGACAGAUACAGUCACUGCUGCGGAAUGAGCACACAGCAAUGCUGCGCUGUCUGUGCCAUUAUUGUUCUCUGCUGCAAACUGGAAGCGACUGAGAGCAGGGCAAGGCAGCGGCCCUUCUGUAACAGCCCCCCUGGGAUGUGUACACAUCUCCAGUGGUGCAGGAUGUGCACAAUGGGCAUGGCUGGCAGCUUCUGCUGUGAGGAUGAUGACAGAAUCCCUCCUCUGGAUUUCACCUCCGUAUCUCAUACCCUCUCAGAGAUUGCUCAGCAGUGAUUGACAUUCAAACUGCCUGCUCUUAAAAAACCAAGUAAGGGAAUGAGAAGGGAAUAUGUAAACUUCCAGGGUAAACUGUGUUGAAAAAUUAAAGGGUGAUACGGUGGUCGGCUCCAGGCUGGUCCUGACUCUCAUGGGAAUAGUUAUGACCUCUCCAAAGGUUCUUCUCAUCAGGUUUUGUUAUGGGGAAGUCACUGUGCAUCCCCUCUGUGAGCAGUGAGAGCUGUGGGACUGCCCGCUCAGUGCUGCACUGACAGCUCUGCAACUGCCAGCAGCAAUAGGUAUGUAUGGAGUGAGGGGAAAAAAUCCAAAGCACAGCAUGAGUUUGCAUUACCUCUUGGUUAUGUGGGUUACUGAAUUCAAGAGCAAGUUUUAGUUACACAGCACAAACAGCCCACUUGUGAAUAUGUCACAGUGAUGCUCUGGCACGCUCAGCAGCCCAUAAAAAUGCCCACUCUGCUUAUACUGUUGAAUUGUUUCAGCCUUUGAUAAACCUUCUGUUUCAGCCUGUUGUAGAUUUUAAAGCAUUUCUUGCUAAUGGGUUUUCACAAUGUGGUUUAAGGGCUGUUGUUAUUAAUAAAUGUAACUGCACUGAAUAGUAAUUUGAUAAAGAUGAAAGAGGCAUUGAUGAAUUCCACUUCCCUUUCAGCUGCUGCUAGGAAUUUUUUCCUCCUUCAGAAUAUGUUGCAUUUAAUCUUGAUUUCCUUUUUGUUAAAACUGCUACUUUCUCACGUUAUAAAGAGAAUAUCAGUGGAGUCGGACCAGUUGUGCCAUCUUCUGUGUGGUAAAGAUCCAGUUCUGCUCAGUGAAUGGCAGAAAUUUCCUUGCUGAACAGCAGGGCUGGCUGGGUGUCCCAUCAGAAAUGCCUACAAAUAGCGUGUAAGUUUAAAGUUGUUUUCUUAAAAUAUGAUUAAUGGGUCUUAACGUUGAUGGAAGCAUUAAAAGAAAAUAAUUUAUCCACACUUUUUGCU
Molecule: long non-coding RNA, 8288 nt
Organism: Gallus gallus (chicken)
Lineage: Eukaryota; Metazoa; Chordata; Aves; Galliformes; Phasianidae
Source: Ensembl